AUUGAACGCUGGCGGCAUGCCUUACACAUGCAAGUCGAACGGUAACGGGCCUUCGGGUGCCGACGAGUGGCGAACGGGUGAGUAAUGCAUCGGAACGUACCUUUCAGUGGGGGAUAACGUAGCGAAAGUUAACGCUAAUACCGCAUAUUCUGUGAGCAGGAAAGCAGGGGAUCGCAAGACCUUGCGCUGAUUGAGCGGCCGAUGUCAGAUUAGCUAGUUGGUGAGGUAAAGGCUCACCAAGGCGACGAUCUGUAGCGGGUCUGAGAGGAUGAUCCGCCACACUGGAACUGAGACACGGUCCAGACUCCUACGGGAGGCAGCAGUGGGGAAUUUUGGACAAUGGGGGCAACCCUGAUCCAGCCAUGCCGCGUGAGUGAA
RNAcentral lists this ribosomal RNA (378 nucleotides) under uncultured bacterium. Its description in RNAcentral is "bacterial SSU rRNA". It matches the Rfam family "Bacterial small subunit ribosomal RNA", at positions 30 to 409 of the family's 1533-position model. The record is from RNAcentral.